CCUACGGGUGGCAGCAGUGGGGAAUAUUGGACAAUGGGCGAAAGCCUGAUCCAGCCAUGCCGCGUGUGUGAAGAAGGCCUUCGGGUUGUAAAGCACUUUCAGUGGGGAAGAAAGCCUUGGGGCUAAUACCCUCGAGGAAGGACAUCACCCACAGAAGAAGCACCGGCUAACUCCGUGCCAGCAGCCGCGGUAAUACGGAGGGUGCGAGCGUUAAUCGGAAUUACUGGGCGUAAAGCGCGCGUAGGCGGUCUGAUAAGCCGGUUGUGAAAGCCCCGGGCUCAACCUGGGAACGGCAUCCGGAACGGUCAGGCUAGAGUGCAGGAGAGGAAGGGAGAAUUCCCGGUGUAGCGGUGAAAUGCGUAGAGAUCGGGAGGAAUACCAGUGGCGAAGGCGGCCUGCUGGACUGACACUGACGCUGAGGUGCGAAAGCGUGGGUAGCAAACAGGAUUAGAUACCCCUGAGUC
This 464-nucleotide ribosomal RNA is filed under the name Vreelandella stevensii. RNAcentral describes it as "partial 16S ribosomal RNA". It matches the Rfam family "Bacterial small subunit ribosomal RNA", at positions 338 to 795 of the family's 1533-position model. Lineage: Bacteria; Pseudomonadati; Pseudomonadota; Gammaproteobacteria; Oceanospirillales; Halomonadaceae. The record is from RNAcentral.